GGAAUUUUCCGCAAUGGGCGAAAGCCUGACGGAGCAACGCCGCGUGAGGGAUGAAGGCCUCUGGGCUGUAAACCUCUUUUAUCAAGGAAGGAGAUCUGACGGUACUUGAUGAAUAAGCCACGGCUAAUUCCGUGCCAGCAGCCGCGGUAAUACGGGAGUGGCAAGCGUUAUCCGGAAUUAUUGGGCGUAAAGCGUCCGCAGGCGGUCCAGAAAGUCUGCUGUUAAAAAGUGGAGCUUAACUCCAUCAUGGCAGUGGAAACUUCUGGACUAGAGUGUGGUAGGGGCAGAGGGGAUUCCCGGUGUAGCGGUGAAAUGCGUAGAUAUCGGGAAGAACACCAGUGGCGAAGGCGCUCUGCUGGGCCAUAACUGACGCUCAUGGACGAAAGCCAGGGGAGCGAAAGGGAUUAGAUACCCCAGUAGUC
This 422-nucleotide ribosomal RNA is filed under the name uncultured cyanobacterium. RNAcentral's name for it is "bacterial SSU rRNA". It matches the Rfam family "Bacterial small subunit ribosomal RNA", at positions 358 to 795 of the family's 1533-position model. The record is from RNAcentral. Lineage: Bacteria; Bacillati; Cyanobacteriota.